This 429-nucleotide long non-coding RNA is filed under the name Brassica napus (rape). RNAcentral's name for it is "long non-coding RNA (BNAP_LNC021512)". The record is from RNAcentral. Lineage: Eukaryota; Viridiplantae; Streptophyta; Magnoliopsida; Brassicales; Brassicaceae.
UCCUUUGUUGCUUGAUCGGGAACGCCUUGAUCGUCGGACGCGAGCUGUAUGAUGCUGUCGCAAACGAGGAAGAGGUCGCGUGCUGGAGCUGCUCUCGGGUCACGAACGUCUGAGCUAGGAUCAGGAACGCCUUGGGCUGAAGCUGAUCUGAGACGCGAGCUGGAACAGAUGCGGGAACAAGAGAAGCGAACGGGGUUUAGGGUUCAUCGGAUCGCUGGCUAGGGUUAGGGUUUUAGGGUUUUUCGAUUUGGGUAUUAGCUUAGGGAUUUAGAGUUUCGUGCUGAUAAUGUGUUAUAAAAGUAAUGGAAAAGUCUCUCUUUAUUCGUAACAUAGAGGUUCCUUAUAUAGGAGAUUACACCGUCAUAGAUAAAUGGAAAGAUUAUAAAUCAUAAUCUCUUGGUUAUGAACCAUCCAUAAUCCGGUUCAUAA